Long non-coding RNA from Populus trichocarpa (black cottonwood), 351 nucleotides. RefSeq lists it as uncharacterized. The transcript is spliced from 2 exons. The record is from RefSeq and is a predicted model, not a curated record. NCBI's taxonomy places the organism in Eukaryota, Viridiplantae, Streptophyta, Magnoliopsida, Malpighiales, Salicaceae.
AUAAAUACUAACCACUCUUGAAGAUAAAUAAAAAUAAGUUCAAACGCGUCCUUCGGAAGGCUAAUGCCUAGCUCUUCCUGAAGCUCUCUCCUAAACGCAUAACAGUAAGAAAAAUUAGUUUAAUAAAAAAAAGUUAUUUUUAUGCAGCAAGAAAUUAAUUGACAAGAUAAUAAAAUAAGAAAAACUGUCACAAAUUGACUCACUGAGCGGACACAAGUGAAGAAUCGCCAGCAGAAAUAUGGCCGGCGCUUGAGAUAUCCCAUCGGCCUGGCCAGGAAUCCUUGCAAUCGGCGCGACGUUGAAGAAGCAAUUCUUGUGUGCUUUCGGAGUAAAUCCACACGUGAACUGCUC